RNAcentral lists this ribosomal RNA (498 nucleotides) under Epitonium jukesianum. RNAcentral describes it as "partial 16S ribosomal RNA". It matches the Rfam family "Bacterial large subunit ribosomal RNA", at positions 1811 to 2608 of the family's 2925-position model. Lineage: Eukaryota; Metazoa; Mollusca; Gastropoda; Epitoniidae. The record is from RNAcentral.
AAACAUGUCUUUCUGUUUAAAAACAUAGGAAGUCGAGCCUGCCCGGUGACGUGUGUUUAACGGCCGCGGUAUUUUGACCGUGCGAAGGUAGCGUAAUCAUUUGCCUUAUAAUUGAAGGCUUGUAUGAAUGGCUUGACGAGGGUUUUACUGUCUCACCCCGGUUCUUUAGAAUUUAACCUUUAGGUGAAGAGGCUUAAAUGCAAUUAAAAGACGAGAAGACCCUAUUGAGCUUAGAUUUUUUUCUUGAGGGGCAAGAAAAACUCUUUAAUUGGGGCAAUUAAGGAACAAAUAAAGCUUCCUAAUGCUAACAAUAUCUGCAAAUUUUGAUCCACUUCUAGUGAAUAAGGAAAAGUUACCAUAGGGAUAACAGCGUUAUCUUUCUUGAGAGUUCUUAUUAAAAGAAAGGUUUGCGACCUCGAUGUUGGACUAAAGUGUCCUGAAGAUGCAGAAGUCUUUAAGGGUUGGUCUGUUCGACCAUUAAAACUUUACAUGAUCUGA